Long non-coding RNA from Lates calcarifer (barramundi perch), 8120 nucleotides. RefSeq lists it as uncharacterized. The record is from RefSeq and is a predicted model, not a curated record. Lineage: Eukaryota; Metazoa; Chordata; Actinopteri; Centropomidae. The transcript is spliced from 17 exons.
CGGCAUUGCUGGCGUUCAGAGACAUUGUCAAUGAUUGCAGAGACUUUGUCCAUAAUCUCAGAGACAUUGUCUGCGAUCACAGAGACGUAGUCCACGAUCUCAGAGAGUCUUUGUACAAUGAAGAAGUUCUGUGAGACCAGGACAGAGGCCUCCAGGUGUCACCACUUCGUCCACGAUCGCAAAGACAUGGUCCAUGAUUGGAGAGACAUUGUUGAGGAUGAGGGAGACAUCGUCCACGAUUGGAGACAUUGUCAUUGACUCGUGGUGACUCGGUCCCCGAUUAGUCGGCAUUGCCGGCGUUCAGAGACAUUGUCGAUGAUCGCAGAGACUUUGUCCAUAAUCUCAGAGACAUUGUCUGCGAUCACAGAGACGUAGUCCACGAUCUCAGAGGCGUCAACGAUCACAGAGACAUGGUCCAUGAUCGGAGAGACAUUGUUGAGGAUGAGGGAGACAUCGUCCACGAUCAGAGACGUUGUCUGUGAUCGCAGAGACCUUGUCAAAGAUGAAAGAGACGUUGUCCAUGAUCAGAGACAUUGUCGCUGCUUCGCAGAGCUCUGUACAAGAAUCGGUAGUGACACUGUGGUUCCUCGAUUCGACGGCAUGACCGCGAUCAGCUGGCAUUGUUAAUGGUCACAGAGAAACAGUCUAUCAUCUUAGAGACAUCGUCCACGAUCACAGACACAUUGUCAAUGAUCGCAGAGACUUUGUCUAUAAUCUCAGAGACAUUGUCCGCGAUUACAGAGACGUAGUCCACGAUCACAGAGAGUCUUUGUACAAUGAAGAAAUUCUGUGAGACCAGGACAGAGGCCUCCAGGUGUCACCACUUCGUCCACCACAUCGUCCACGAUCGCAAAGACAUGGUCCAUGAUCGGAGAGACAUUGUUGAGGAUGAGGGAGACAUCGUCCACGAUCGGAGACAUUGUCCAUGACUUGUGGUGACUCGGUCCCCGAUUAGUCGGCAUUGCUGGCGUUCAGAGACAUUGUCAAUGAUCGCAGAGACUUUGUCCAUAAUCUCAGAGACAUUGUCCACGAUCACAGAGACGUAGUCCACGAUCUCAGAGAGUCUUUGUACAAUGAAGAAGUUCUGUGAGACCAGGACAGAGGCCUCCAGGUGUCACCACUUCGUCCAUGAUCGCAAAGACAUGGUCCAUGAUCGGAGAGACAUUGUUGAGGAUGAGGGAGACAUCGUCCUCGAUCGGAGACAUUGUCCAUGACUCGUGGUGACUCGGUCCCCGAUUAGUCGGCAUUGCUGGCGUUCAGAGACAUUGUCGAUGAUCGCAGAGACUUUGUCCAUAAUCUCAGAGACAUUGUCCGCGAUCACAGAGACGUAGUCCACGAUCUCAGAGACGUCAACGAUCACAGAGACAUGGUCCAUGAUCGGAGAGACAUUGUUGAGGAUGAGGGAGACAUCGUCCACGAUCAGAGACGUUGUCUGUGAUCGCAGAGACCUUGUCAAAGAUGAAAGAGACGUUGUCCAUGAUCAGAGACAUUGUCGCUGCUUCGCAGAGCUCUGUACAAGAAUCGGUAGUGACACUGUGGUUCCUCGAUUCGACGGCAUGACCGCGAUCAGCUGGCAUUGUUAAUGGUCACAGAGAAACAGUCUAUCAUCUUAGAGACAUCGUCCACGAUCACAGACACAUUGUCAAUGAUCGCAGAGACUUUGUCUAUAAUCUCAGAGACAUUGUCCGCGAUUACAGAGACGUAGUCCACGAUCACAGAGAGUCUUUGUACAAUGAAGAAGUUCUGUGAGACCAGGACAGAGGCCUCCAGGUGUCACCACUUCGUCCACCACAUCGUCCACGAUCGCAAAGACAUGGUCCAUGAUCGGAGAGACAUUGUUGAGGAUGAGGGAGACAUCGUCCACGAUCGGAGACAUUGUCCAUGACUUGUGGUGACUCGGUCCCCGAUUAGUCGGCAUUGCUGGCGUUCAGAGACAUUGUCAAUGAUCGCAGAGACUUUGUCCAUAAUCUCAGAGACAUUGUCCACGAUCACAGAGACGUAGUCCACGAUCUCAGAGAGUCUUUGUACAAUGAAGAAGUUCUGUGAGACCAGGACAGAGGCCUCCAGGUGUCACCACUUCGUCCAUGAUCGCAAAGACAUGGUCCAUGAUCGGAGAGACAUUGUUGAGGAUGAGGGAGACAUCGUCCUCGAUCGGAGACAUUGUCCAUGACUCGUGGUGACUCGGUCCCCGAUUAGUCGGCAUUGCUGGCGUUCAGAGACAUUGUCGAUGAUCGCAGAGACUUUGUCCAUAAUCUCAGAGACAUUGUCCGCGAUCACAGAGACGUAGUCCACGAUCUCAGAGACGUCAACGAUCACAGAGACAUGGUCCAUGAUCGGAGAGACAUUGUUGAGGAUGAGGGAGACAUCGUCCACGAUCAGAGACGUUGUCUGUGAUCGCAGAGACCUUGUCAAAGAUGAAAGAGACGUUGUCCAUGAUCAGAGACAUUGUCGCUGCUUCGCAGAGCUCUGUACAAGAAUCGGUAGUGACACUGUGGUUCCUCGAUUCGACGGCAUGACCGCGAUCAGCUGGCAUUGUUAAUGGUCACAGAGAAACAGUCUAUCAUCUUAGAGACAUCGUCCACGAUCACAGACACAUUGUCAAUGAUCGCAGAGACUUUGUCUAUAAUCUCAGAGACAUUGUCCGCGAUUACAGAGACGUAGUCCACGAUCACAGAGAGUCUUUGUACAAUGAAGAAGUUCUGUGAGACCAGGACAGAGGCCUCCAGGUGUCACCACUUCGUCCACCACAUCGUCCACGAUCGCAAAGACAUGGUCCAUGAUCGGAGAGACAUUGUUGAGGAUGAGGGAGACAUCGUCCACGAUCGGAGACAUUGUCCAUGACUUGUGGUGACUCGGUCCCCGAUUAGUCGGCAUUGCUGGCGUUCAGAGACAUUGUCAAUGAUCGCAGAGACUUUGUCCAUAAUCUCAGAGACAUUGUCCACGAUCACAGAGACGUAGUCCACGAUCUCAGAGAGUCUUUGUACAAUGAAGAAGUUCUGUGAGACCAGGACAGAGGCCUCCAGGUGUCACCACUUCGUCCAUGAUCGCAAAGACAUGGUCCAUGAUCGGAGAGACAUUGUUGAGGAUGAGGGAGACAUCGUCCUCGAUCGGAGACAUUGUCCAUGACUCGUGGUGACUCGGUCCCCGAUUAGUCGGCAUUGCUGGCGUUCAGAGACAUUGUCGAUGAUCGCAGAGACUUUGUCCAUAAUCUCAGAGACAUUGUCCGCGAUCACAGAGACGUAGUCCACGAUCUCAGAGACGUCAACGAUCACAGAGACAUGGUCCAUGAUCGGAGAGACAUUGUUGAGGAUGAGGGAGACAUCGUCCACGAUCAGAGACGUUGUCUGUGAUCGCAGAGACCUUGUCAAAGAUGAAAGAGACGUUGUCCAUGAUCAGAGACAUUGUCGCUGCUUCGCAGAGCUCUGUACAAGAAUCGGUAGUGACACUGUGGUUCCUCGAUUCGACGGCAUGACCGCGAUCAGCUGGCAUUGUUAAUGGUCACAGAGAAACAGUCUAUCAUCUUAGAGACAUCGUCCACGAUCACAGACACAUUGUCAAUGAUCGCAGAGACUUUGUCUAUAAUCUCAGAGACAUUGUCCGCGAUUACAGAGACGUAGUCCACGAUCACAGAGAGUCUUUGUACAAUGAAGAAGUUCUGUGAGACCAGGACAGAGGCCUCCAGGUGUCACCACUUCGUCCACCACAUCGUCCACGAUCGCAAAGACAUGGUCCAUGAUCGGAGAGACAUUGUUGAGGAUGAGGGAGACAUCGUCCUCGAUCGGAGACAUUGUCCAUGACUCGUGGUGACUCGGUCCCCGAUUAGUCGGCAUUGCUGGCGUUCAGAGACAUUGUCGAUGAUCGCAGAGACUUUGUCCAUAAUCUCAGAGACAUUGUCCGCGAUCACAGAGACGUAGUCCACGAUCUCAGAGACGUCAACGAUCACAGAGACAUGGUCCAUGAUCGGAGAGACAUUGUUGAGGAUGAGGGAGACAUCGUCCACGAUCAGAGACGUUGUCUGUGAUCGCAGAGACCUUGUCAAAGAUGAAAGAGACGUUGUCCAUGAUCAGAGACAUUGUCGCUGCUUCGCAGAGCUCUGUACAAGAAUCGGUAGUGACACUGUGGUUCCUCGAUUCGACGGCAUGACCGCGAUCAGCUGGCAUUGUUAAUGGUCACAGAGAAACAGUCUAUCAUCUUAGAGACAUCGUCCACGAUCACAGACACAUUGUCAAUGAUCGCAGAGACUUUGUCUAUAAUCUCAGAGACAUUGUCCGCGAUUACAGAGACGUAGUCCACGAUCACAGAGAGUCUUUGUACAAUGAAGAAGUUCUGUGAGACCAGGACAGAGGCCUCCAGGUGUCACCACUUCGUCCACCACAUCGUCCACGAUCGCAAAGACAUGGUCCAUGAUCGGAGAGACAUUGUUGAGGAUGAGGGAGACAUCGUCCACGAUCGGAGACAUUGUCCAUGACUUGUGGUGACUCGGUCCCCGAUUAGUCGGCAUUGCUGGCGUUCAGAGACAUUGUCAAUGAUCGCAGAGACUUUGUCCAUAAUCUCAGAGACAUUGUCCACGAUCACAGAGACGUAGUCCACGAUCUCAGAGAGUCUUUGUACAAUGAAGAAGUUCUGUGAGACCAGGACAGAGGCCUCCAGGUGUCACCACUUCGUCCAUGAUCGCAAAGACAUGGUCCAUGAUCGGAGAGACAUUGUUGAGGAUGAGGGAGACAUCGUCCUCGAUCGGAGACAUUGUCCAUGACUCGUGGUGACUCGGUCCCCGAUUAGUCGGCAUUGCUGGCGUUCAGAGACAUUGUCGAUGAUCGCAGAGACUUUGUCCAUAAUCUCAGAGACAUUGUCCGCGAUCACAGAGACGUAGUCCACGAUCUCAGAGACGUCAACGAUCACAGAGACAUGGUCCAUGAUCGGAGAGACAUUGUUGAGGAUGAGGGAGACAUCGUCCACGAUCAGAGACGUUGUCUGUGAUCGCAGAGACCUUGUCAAAGAUGAAAGAGACGUUGUCCAUGAUCAGAGACAUUGUCGCUGCUUCGCAGAGCUCUGUACAAGAAUCGGUAGUGACACUGUGGUUCCUCGAUUCGACGGCAUGACCGCGAUCAGCUGGCAUUGUUAAUGGUCACAGAGAAACAGUCUAUCAUCUUAGAGACAUCGUCCACGAUCACAGACACAUUGUCAAUGAUCGCAGAGACUUUGUCUAUAAUCUCAGAGACAUUGUCCGCGAUUACAGAGACGUAGUCCACGAUCACAGAGAGUCUUUGUACAAUGAAGAAGUUCUGUGAGACCAGGACAGAGGCCUCCAGGUGUCACCACUUCGUCCACCACAUCGUCCACGAUCGCAAAGACAUGGUCCAUGAUCGGAGAGACAUUGUUGAGGAUGAGGGAGACAUCGUCCACGAUCGGAGACAUUGUCCAUGACUUGUGGUGACUCGGUCCCCGAUUAGUCGGCAUUGCUGGCGUUCAGAGACAUUGUCAAUGAUCGCAGAGACUUUGUCCAUAAUCUCAGAGACAUUGUCCACGAUCACAGAGACGUAGUCCACGAUCUCAGAGAGUCUUUGUACAAUGAAGAAGUUCUGUGAGACCAGGACAGAGGCCUCCAGGUGUCACCACUUCGUCCACGAUCGCAAAGACAUGGUCCAUGAUCGGAGAGACAUUGUUGAGGAUGAGGGAGACAUCGUCCACGAUCGGAGACAUUGUCAUUGACUCGUGGUGACUCGGUCCCCGAUUAGUCGGCAUUGCCGGCGUUCAGAGACAUUGUCGAUGAUCGCAGAGACUUUGUCCAUAAUCUCAGAGACAUUGUCUGCGAUCACAGAGACGUAGUCCACGAUCUCAGAGGCGUCAACGAUCACAGAGACAUGGUCCAUGAUCGGAGAGACAUUGUUGAGGAUGAGGGAGACAUCGUCCACGAUCAGAGACGUUGUCUGUGAUCGCAGAGACCUUGUCAAAGAUGAAAGAGACGUUGUCCAUGAUCAGAGACAUUGUCGCUGCUUCGCAGAGCUCUGUACAAGAAUCGGUAGUGACACUGUGGUUCCUCGAUUCGACGGCAUGACCGCGAUCAGCUGGCAUUGUUAAUGGUCACAGAGAAACAGUCUAUCAUCUUCGAGACAUCGUCCACGAUCACAGACACAUUGUCAAUGAUCGCAGAGACUUUGUCUAUAAUCUCAGAGACAUUGUCCGCGAUUACAGAGACGUAGUCCACGAUCACAGAGAGUCUUUGUACAAUGAAGAAGUUCUGUGAGACCAGGACAGAGGCCUCCAGGUGUCACCACUUCGUCCACGAUCGCAAAGACAUGGUCCAUGAUCGGAGAGACAUUGUUGAGGAUGAGGGAGACAUCGUCCACGAUCGGAGACAUUGUCCAUGACUCGUGGUGACUCGGUCCCCGAUUAGUCGGCAUUGCCGGCGUUCAGAGACAUUGUCGAUGAUCGCAGAGACUUUGUCCAUAAUCUCAGAGACAUUGUCUGCGAUCACAGAGACGUAGUCCACGAUCUCAGAGGCGUCAACGAUCACAGAGACAUGGUCCAUGAUCGGAGAGACAUUGUUGAGGAUGAGGGAGACAUCGUCCACGAUCAGAGACGUUGUCUGUGAUCGCAGAGACCUUGUCAAAGAUGAAAGAGACGUUGUCCAUGAUCAGAGACAUUGUCGCUGCUUCGCAGAGCUCUGUACAAGAAUCGGUAGUGACACUGUGGUUCCUCGAUUCGACGGCAUGACCGCGAUCAGCUGGCAUUGUUAAUGGUCACAGAGAAACAGUCUAUCAUCUUAGAGACAUCGUCCACGAUCACAGACACAUUGUCAAUGAUCGCAGAGACUUUAUCUAUAAUCUCAGAGACAUUGUCCGCGAUUACAGAGACGUAGUCCACGAUCACAGAGAGUCUUUGUACAAUGAAGAAAUUCUGUGAGACCAGGACAGAGGCCUCCAGGUGUCACCACUUCGUCCACCACAUCGUCCACGAUCGCAAAGACAUGGUCCAUGAUCGGAGAGACAUUGUUGAGGAUGAGGGAGACAUCGUCCACGAUCGGAGACAUUGUCCAUGACUUGUGGUGACUCGGUCCCCGAUUAGUCGGCAUUGCUGGCGUUCAGAGACAUUGUCAAUGAUCGCAGAGACUUUGUCCAUAAUCUCAGAGACAUUGUCCAUGAUCACAGAGACGUAGUCCACGAUCUCAGAGAGUCUUUGUACAAUGAAGAAGUUCUGUGAGACCAGGACAGAGGCCUCCAGGUGUCACCACUUCGUCCACGAUCGCAAAGACAUGGUCCAUGAUCGGAGAGACAUUGUUGAGGAUGAGGGAGACAUCGUCCACGAUCGGAGACAUUGUCCAUGACUCGUGGUGACUCGGUCCCCGAUUAGUCGGCAUUGCCGGCGUUCAGAGACAUUGUCAAUGAUCGCAGAGACUUUGUCCAUAAUCUCAGAGACAUUGUCUGCGAUCACAGAGACGUAGUCCACGAUCUCAGAGGCGUCAACGAUCACAGAGACAUGGUCCAUGAUCGGAGAGACAUUGUUGAGGAUGAGGGAGACAUCGUCCACGAUCAGAGACGUUGUCUGUGAUCGCAGAGACCUUGUCAAAGAUGAAAGAGACGUUGUCCAUGAUCAGAGACAUUGUCGCUGCUUCGCAGAGCUCUGUACAAGAAUCGGUAGUGACACUGUGGUUCCUCGAUUCGACGGCAUGACCGCGAUCAGCUGGCAUUGUUAAUGGUCACAGAGAAACAGUCUAUCAUCUUCGAGACAUCGUCCACGAUCACAGACACAUUGUCAAUGAUCGCAGAGACUUUGUCUAUAAUCUCAGAGACAUUGUCCGCGAUUACAGAGACGUAGUCCACGAUCACAGAGAGUCUUUGUACAAUGAAGAAGUUCUGUGAGACCAGGACAGAGGCCUCCAGGAGGAGAAGACUGCAUCAUCUGAAGAGGACAACAAGAAUAGUAAAAUGUUCUUGAAGAUGUCUAGAGAUGUAUAAGAUUUUAAUAAGCAUGUCCUCAUAUGUGAUCAUCACUACAUGAAAUGUGGGGUGAGAGAAUAAAAAGAUGUGUCUCCAAGUGGUCAAAUAUCUGUCAUUAUCUUUACUGUGGUUUGUUAAAUGUUGUCUGUAACAGAAUCAAUAAAGUUGUUGCUUAACUUUUGA